RNAcentral lists this small RNA (3029 nucleotides) under Pongo abelii (Sumatran orangutan). RNAcentral's name for it is "retained intron". The record is from RNAcentral. Lineage: Eukaryota; Metazoa; Chordata; Mammalia; Primates; Hominidae.
UGGUUUCUAAAUCUUAUUCAGUGAGCACAUGUUCCUUUUUUUUAAUUAGAGAAAACAUGACAGUAGCCCCUUUUUGUGUUUCACAGAGGAACUAACAUUCCUUCUGUAUCUGUAGUUCAUGCGGGAGAUGGCAGGGGCCUGGCACAUGACGGUGGAGCAGAAAUUUGGCCUGUUUUCUGCUGAGAUAAAGGAAGCAGACCCCCUGGCUGCCUCGGAAGCAAGUCAACCCAAACCCUGUCCCCCUGAAGUGACCCCCCACUACAUCUGGAUCGACUUCCUGGUGCAGCGGUUUGAGAUCGCCAAGUACUGCAGCUCUGACCAAGUGGAGAUCUUCUCCAGCCUGCUGCAGCGCUCCAUGUCCCUGAACAUCGGCGGGGCCAAGGGAAGCAUGAACCGGCACGUGGCGGCCAUCGGGCCCCGCUUCAAGCUGCUGACCCUGGGGCUGUCCCUCCUGCAUGCCGACGUGGUUCCAAAUGCAACCAUCCGCAAUGUGCUUCGCGAGAAGAUCUACUCCACUGCCUUUGACUACUUCAGCUGUCCCCCAAAGUUCCCUACUCAAGGAGAGAAGCGACUGCGUGAAGACAUAAGCAUCAUGAUUAAAUUUUGGACUGCCAUGUUCUCAGAUAAGAAGUACCUGACCGCCAGCCAGCUUGUUCCCCCAGAUAAUCAGGACACCCGCAGCAACCUGGACAUAACUGUUGGCUCUCGGCAACAAGCCACCCAAGGCUGGAUCAACACAUACCCCCUGUCCAGCGGCAUGUCCACCAUCUCCAAGAAGUCAGGCAUGUCUAAGAAAACCAACCGGGGCUCCCAGCUGCACAAAUACUACAUGAAGCGCAGGACGCUGCUGCUGUCCCUGCUGGCCACCGAGAUUGAGCGUCUCAUCACAUGGUACAACCCGCUGUCAGCCCCGGAACUGGAGCUAGACCAGGCCGGAGAGAACAGCGUGGCCAACUGGAGAUCUAAGUACAUCAGCCUGAGUGAGAAGCAGUGGAAGGACAAUGUGAACCUCGCCUGGAGCAUCUCUCCCUACCUGGCCGUGCAGCUGCCUGCCAGGUUUAAGAACACAGAAGCCAUCGGGAACGAAGUGACCCGUCUUGUUCGGUUGGACCCGGGAGCCGUUAGUGAUGUGCCUGAAGCGAUCAAGUUCCUGGUCACCUGGCACACCAUCGACGCCGAUGCUCCAGAGCUCAGCCAUGUGCUGUGCUGGGCGCCCACGGACCCACCCACGGGCCUCUCCUACUUCUCCAGCAUGUAUCCACCGCACCCUCUCACGGCGCAGUACGGGGUGAAAGUCCUGCGGUCGUUCCCUCCGGACGCCAUCCUCUUCUACAUCCCCCAGAUUGUGCAGGCCCUCAGGUACGACAAGAUGGGCUAUGUGCGGGAGUAUAUUCUGUGGGCAGCGUCUAAAUCCCAGCUUCUGGCGCACCAGUUCAUCUGGAACAUGAAGACUAACAUUUAUCUAGAUGAAGAGGGCCACCAGAAAGACCCUGACAUCGGCGACCUCCUGGAGCAGUUAGUAGAGGAGAUCACAGGCUCCUUGUCGGGCCCAGCGAAGGACUUUUACCAGCGGGAGUUUGAUUUCUUUAACAAGAUCACCAACGUGUCGGCUAUCAUCAAGCCCUACCCUAAAGGCGACGAGAGAAAGAAGGCUUGUCUGUCAGCCCUGUCUGAAGUGAAGGUGCAGCCGGGCUGCUACCUGCCCAGCAACCCCGAGGCCAUCGUGCUGGACAUCGACUACAAGUCUGGGACCCCGAUGCAGAGUGCUGCAAAAGCCCCAUAUCUGGCCAAGUUCAAGGUGAAGCGAUGUGGAGUUAGUGAACUUGAAAAAGAAGGUCUGCGGUGCUGCUCAGACUCCGAGGAUGAGUGCAGCACGCAGGAGGCUGACGGCCAGAAGAUCUCCUGGCAGGCAGCCAUCUUCAAAGUGGGAGAUGACUGCCGGCAGGACAUGCUGGCCCUGCAGAUCAUCGACCUCUUCAAGAACAUCUUCCAGCUGGUCGGCCUGGACCUCUUUGUUUUUCCCUACCGCGUGGUGGCCACUGCCCCUGGGUGCGGGGUGAUCGAGUGCAUCCCCGACUGCACCUCCCGGGACCAGCUGGGCCGCCAGACAGACUUCGGCAUGUACGACUACUUCACACGCCAGUACGGGGAUGAGUCCACCCUGGCCUUCCAGCAGGCCCGCUACAACUUCAUCCGAAGCAUGGCCGCCUACAGCCUCCUGCUGUUCCUGCUGCAGAUCAAGGAUAGACACAAUGGCAACAUUAUGCUGGACAAGAAGGGCCAUAUCAUCCACAUCGACUUUGGCUUCAUGUUUGAAAGCUCGCCGGGCGGCAAUCUCGGCUGGGAACCCGACAUCAAGCUGACGGAUGAGAUGGUGAUGAUCAUGGGGGGCAAGAUGGAGGCGACGCCCUUCAAGUGGUUCAUGGAGAUGUGUGUCCGAGGCUACCUGGCUGUGCGGCCCUACAUGGACGCGGUCGUCUCCCUGGUCACUCUCAUGUUGGACACGGGCCUGCCCUGUUUUCGUGGCCAGACAAUCAAGCUCUUGAAGCACAGGUUUAGCCCCAACAUGACCGAGCGCGAGGCUGCAAAUUUCAUCAUGAAGGUCAUCCAGAGCUGCUUCCUCAGCAACAGGAGCCGGACCUACGACAUGAUCCAGUACUAUCAGAAUGACAUCCCCUACUGAGGAGGGGACCUCCGAGGCCCUCCGCCCCAUGUGCCCUCGAAGCUGCCCCACAAUCAUGGAGCCCUGUGACCUCCCCAUCCUGCCGCCACAUGCCAUGGAGAGGCCUGUGGCCCGAAGAGCCUGGUAGCGCCUCCUGGGGCAGCACGUGGGUGGCGCAGCCUUGGUAACGCCAUGGACUGCAGCGACAAUCAUUGGAUGGUGCUGUCUAUGCACGGGUGUGAGUCCUCUGUUUGCACUGGACAUAUUCCCUACCUGUCUUAUUUCAUAGGUACAUGAAGUAUUUUCUUGUGUAUAAAAAAAGAUAUAAGAUUUAACCAACAUCAACAAAAUAAAAACCCAAAAUAGU